This 581-nucleotide ribosomal RNA is filed under the name uncultured bacterium. RNAcentral's name for it is "bacterial SSU rRNA". It matches the Rfam family "Bacterial small subunit ribosomal RNA", at positions 338 to 916 of the family's 1533-position model. The record is from RNAcentral.
CCUACGGGAGGCAGCAGUGGGGAAUUUUGGACAAUGGGCGCAAGCCUGAUCCAGCCAUGCCGCGUGUCUGAAGAAGGCCUUCGGGUUGUAAAGGACUUUUGUCAGGGAAGAAAAGGCUGUUGCUAAUACCGACAGCUUAUGACGGUACCUGAAGAAUAAGCACCGGCUAACUACGUGCCAGCAGCCGCGGUAAUACGGAGGAUGCGAGCGUUAUCCGGAAUCAUUGGGUUUAAAGGGUCCGUAGGCGGGCUGAUAAGUCAGAGGUGAAAGCGCUUAGCUCAACUAAGCAACUGCCUUUGAAACUGUCAGUCUUGAAUGAUUGUGAAGUAGUUGGAAUGUGUAGUGUAGCGGUGAAAUGCUUAGAUAUUACACAGAACACCGAUAGCGAAGGCAUAUUACUAACAAUUGAUUGACGCUGAUGGACGAAAGCGUGGGGAGCGAACAGGAUUAGAUACCCUGGUAGUCCACGCUGUAAACGAUGGAUACUAGCUGUUUGGAGCAAUCUGAGUGGCUAAGCGAAAGUGAUAAGUAUCCCACCUGGGGAGUACGUACGCAAGUGUGAAACUCAAAGGAAUUGACGG